This 136-nucleotide ribosomal RNA is filed under the name Thermoplasma acidophilum. Lineage: Archaea; Methanobacteriati; Thermoplasmatota; Thermoplasmata; Thermoplasmatales; Thermoplasmataceae. The record is from RNAcentral.
UCGGCAACGGUCAUAGCAGCAGGGAAACACCAGAUCCCAUUCCGAACUCGACGGUUAAGCCUGCUGCGUAUUGCGUUGUACUGUAUGCCGCGAGGGUACGGGAAGCGCAAUAUGCUGUUACCACUUUUGAAAUGAA